Molecule: ribosomal RNA, 423 nt
Filed under: uncultured bacterium
Lineage: Bacteria
Description: bacterial SSU rRNA
Rfam family: Bacterial small subunit ribosomal RNA
Source: RNAcentral
GGAGGCAGCAGUGGGGAAUAUUGGACAAUGGGCGAAAGCCUGAUCCAGCAAUGCCGCGUGAGUGAUGAAGGCCUUAGGGUUGUAAAGCUCUUUUACCCGGGAUGAUAAUGACAGUACCGGGAGAAUAAGCUCCGGCUAACUCCGUGCCAGCAGCCGCGGUAAUACGGAGGGAGCUAGCGUUGUUCGGAAUUACUGGGCGUAAAGCGCGCGUAGGCGGUUUUUUAAGUCAGAGGUGAAAGCCCAGUGCUCAACACUGGAACUGCCUUUGAAACUGGAAAACUUGAAUCUUGGAGAGGUCAGUGGAAUUCCGAGUGUAGAGGUGAAAUUCGUAGAUAUUCGGAAGAACACCAGUGGCGAAGGCGACUGACUGGACAAGUAUUGACGCUGAGGUGCGAAAGCGUGGGGAGCAAACAGGAUUAGAUA